GAGGGUGAAAAGAACCUGAAACCGUUACGGGGGAAGCGGAUUGCAUUAUUCUAGUUUUAACGUGUUCAACCUUUUAGGUGCAUUGACGUUAAAACUUAUCUGCUGUGGAUUUUUGAUAAUUGAAAAUGAAUUAUUAAAGAUUGAGGGCUCCACUUUGUGUGAGGACAGCGGAUUGACGAUGUGAUACGACCCGUCUUGAAACACGGACCAAGGAGUCUAGCGCGGGUGCGAGUCGGAAGGUGUAAAAACCUGUGGGCGAAGUGAAAGCGAGAUAAAACUCUCAGUUUGAGGCGGCAUAUUUUCGUUGAAAAUAGGUCCGACCUUGAGCAGUUGCGCUGGGACCCGAAAGAUGGUGAACUAUGCCGGAGUAGGGCAAAGCCAGAGGAAACUCUGGUGGAGGCUCGUAGCGGUGCUGACGUGCAAAUCGCUCGUCGAACUUGGGUAUAGGGGCGAAAGACUAAUCGAACCAUCUAGUAGCUGGUUUCCUCCGAAGUUUCUCUCAGGAUAGCGGGCCGACAUA
Molecule: ribosomal RNA, 520 nt
Filed under: Gelidium sp. LLG-2014
Lineage: Eukaryota; Rhodophyta; Florideophyceae; Gelidiales; Gelidiaceae
Description: eukaryotic LSU rRNA
Rfam family: Eukaryotic large subunit ribosomal RNA
Source: RNAcentral